RNAcentral lists this ribosomal RNA (833 nucleotides) under uncultured archaeon. Its description in RNAcentral is "bacterial SSU rRNA". It matches the Rfam family "Archaeal small subunit ribosomal RNA", at positions 21 to 859 of the family's 1478-position model. The record is from RNAcentral.
AGGUUACUGCUAUCGAGGUUCGACUAAGCCAUGCGAGUCGAAUGUAGCAAUACAUGGCGUACUGCUCAGUAACACGUGGACAACCUACCCUUAGGACGAGAAUAAACCCGGGAAACUGGGUAUAAUACCCGAUAGUCCUCGAAUGCUGGAAUGCAUCGCGGACUAAAGCUCCGGCGCCUAAGGAUGGGUCUGCGGCCUAUCAGGUAGUAGUGGGUGUAGCGUACCUACUAGCCUACGACGGGUACGGGUUGUGAUAGCAAGAGCCCGGAGAUGGAUUCUGAGACACGAAUCCAGGCCCUACGGGGUGCAGCAGGCGCGAAAACUUUACAAUGCUGGAAACAGCGAUAAGGGGACCUCGAGUGCCAGGUUACAAAUCUGGCUGUCGUGAUGCCUAAAAAGCAUUGCAUAGCAAGGGCCGGGCAAGACCGGUGCCAGCCGCCGCGGUAACACCGGCGGCUCGAGUGGUAACCGUUAUUAUUGGGUCUAAAGGGUCUGUAGCCGGCCGGAUAAGUCUCUUGGGAAAUCUGGCAGCUUAACUGUCAGGCUUUCAGGAGAUACUGUCUGGCUCGAGGCCGGGAGAGGUGAGAGGUACUUCAGGGGUAGGGGUGAAAUCUUGUAAUCCUUUAAGGACCACCAGUGGCGAAGGCGCCUCACCAGAACGGACCUGACGGCAAGGGACGAAAGCUAGGGGCACGAACCGGAUUAGAUACCCGGGUAGUCCUAGCCGUAAACGAUACUCGCUAGGUGUCGGCCACGGUGCGACCGUUGUCGGUGCCGUAGGGAAGCCGUGAAGCGAGCCACCUGGGAAGUACGGCCGCAAGGCUGAAACUUAA